RNAcentral lists this ribosomal RNA (440 nucleotides) under uncultured bacterium. RNAcentral's name for it is "partial 16S ribosomal RNA". It matches the Rfam family "Bacterial small subunit ribosomal RNA", at positions 338 to 795 of the family's 1533-position model. The record is from RNAcentral.
CCUAUGGGCGGCAGCAGUGGGGAAUAUUGCGCAAUGGGGGAAACCCUGACGCAGCAACGCCGCGUGAGCGAUGAAGGUUUUCGGAUUGUAAAGCUCUGUCUUUGGGGAAGAUAAUGACGGUACCCAAGGAGGAAGCCCCGGCUAACUACGUGCCAGCAGCCGCGGUAAUACGUAGGGGGCAAGCGUUGUCCGGAUUCACUGGGCGUAAAGAGCACGUAGGCGGUUAUUUAAGUCAGGUGUGAAAGUUUUCGGCUCAACCGGAAAAGUGCACUUGAAACUGGAUAACUUGAGAAUCGGAGAGGUAAGCGGAAUUCCUAGUGUAGCGGUGAAAUGCGUAGAGAUUAGGAAGAACACCGGUGGCGAAGGCGGCUUACUGGACGAUUACUGACGCUGAGGUGCGAAAGCGUGGGGAGCAAACAGGAUUAGAUACCCGAGUAGUC